Molecule: long non-coding RNA, 344 nt
Organism: Grammomys surdaster
Lineage: Eukaryota; Metazoa; Chordata; Mammalia; Rodentia; Muridae
Exons: 2
Source: RefSeq, a predicted model, not a curated record
AGGUAUCAUCACGGGGCUUUUGUGCCAACUGUCGUUGUCUCUUCUGGUACAUUUUGGUAAAAUCCUUUUUUUGGAACAUAGAAGCAAACCCCUGGCUUCUACCAACCCAACCCAAAGGCUAAGAAUAUCAUCAGAUGGUGCCUGAGACUUAUACUGAAGACUUGGCAGUUUUGCUCAAGCCCACUCCCAUUGGUUCCAACCAAUGUAUUAAAAAAACCCCUCCAUUUAUGAAUGUCUUUGUUCUUUCUCUAUUAAAACUUCAUGAAACUGCUUGCAUGUUGGAGUGAUCUGAAUCUGUUUCCAUAUUUGAACCUAGAAUAAAUGAUGCUUUUUUUUCUCCUUGA